CCUACGGGUGGCAGCAGUGGGGGAUAUUGCACAAUGGGGGGAACCCUGAUGCAGCGACGCCGCGUGGGUGAAGAAGCGCCUCGGCGCGUAAAGCCCUGUCAGCAGGGAAGAAAAUGACGGUACCUGAAGAAGCAGCCCCGGCUCACGAAGUGCCAGCAGCCGCGGUCAUCCGUAGGGGGCAGGCGUUAUCCGGAUUUACUGGGGGUAAAGGGGGCGCUGGCGGCGAUGAAAGCCCGGAGUGAAAGCCCGGGGCCCAACCCCGGGACUGCUGUUGAAACUGCGUGGCUGGAGUGGAGGAGGGGCAGGCGGAAUGCGUGGUGUAGCGGUGAAAUGCGUAGAUAUCAGGAGGAACACCGGUGGCGAAGGCGGCCUGCUGGACUGCAACUGACGUUGAGGCCCGAAAGCGUGGGGAGCGAACAGGAUUAGAGACCCGGGUAGUC
RNAcentral lists this ribosomal RNA (440 nucleotides) under uncultured bacterium. RNAcentral's name for it is "partial 16S ribosomal RNA". It matches the Rfam family "Bacterial small subunit ribosomal RNA", at positions 338 to 795 of the family's 1533-position model. The record is from RNAcentral.